Arabidopsis thaliana (thale cress) is the source of this 414-nucleotide long non-coding RNA. RefSeq annotates it as other RNA. Lineage: Eukaryota; Viridiplantae; Streptophyta; Magnoliopsida; Brassicales; Brassicaceae. The record is from RefSeq. The transcript has a single exon.
CUCGUCUCAUUUCCUAACGCUGACAAAUCGCGUUCCACAGUUGGUCCUUCGAUCUCCUGGUGCUUCAUCUUCUGCAGCUCCUCUUCCUUCGAUUCCUCUGGCUUCUUCGGCUCGGUCUCUCCGCUUGGUGUCGAGAAAUACCUCGGUGACCAUGUUUCAGAUCUAAGUUUGUCGAUAUUGAAAACAGAAAAGGAUCUUAAGAGACCAAGCUCCUUAGUUACUGAUCCGUGGAUCAGAUGGUUUCUUAUGAGAGAUGAGGAAGAUUGGAGAUGACGGCGAGAGACGUGGAAAGAUGGAGAAGACAAGGGUUUAAGGAAUUUUGAAACCAAUCGACGAGAGAUCAUCAUCGUCGUCGCCGAUUUCGAUGCAGAGAAGAAGCUCUACGUAAUUAAUUUAGGGUUUCUAUUAUUGCCA